This 679-nucleotide unclassified non-coding RNA is filed under the name Hevea brasiliensis (rubber tree). The record is from RNAcentral. Lineage: Eukaryota; Viridiplantae; Streptophyta; Magnoliopsida; Malpighiales; Euphorbiaceae.
UUUUAGUUUCUUCUUGUUCUACAUUAGCACAAACUUGAAUUGAAUUUGCAGAGGCAAGAGUCCAUUAAGUGUGAGAUGGGCUUACUUUGGCUUGGAUCAACCAUUGCUAAAGAGUUAGAACUAAACAACUAGUUAGUUGGUCAUCCACCCUUAUAAGCCCUUUGAACUUGUUGUAAUCUUUAAAUGUGGGACUCUUGACAAUUGACACACAUCAAUCCACUAUUCAAACUCUACCCUGCCAACCAUAACUUUUUCCCCCAUCUUGUGCACAUUAGAUUAACUAAGAAAAUUUGGCUCCAAAUUGUUCUUUCUGCCAAGAAGUCUGACACUGUGCAGAUGGUUCAUUCUUGGAUAUAAUUGUAAAUUUAGCAAUAAUGUUCACUUGAACAUACCCUUUUACCCAUCACAAAAAGAAAUUCUUAUGAAGAAAGAAAUAUGUUUGGCCUUCUUGUCUAGGCCUGAGCAAUAUUCGGUUUUAACCGAAGAUCCUAACCGAACCGAACCAAUUUUCGUCAAAAACCGAAGAAAAACCAAACCGAACAUAACCGUAUAUCUUAAACUAUGUCGUUUCAGCACCCAUUUAUAUGCAUGAUUAAAGCCCAGACCUAGUAACCCCAUUUCUUUUUAAUUCUGAGAACCUUUGGUCUCCUCCCUAAAUCAAAUAUGCAUGACAAUGAAA